GCAUGUAGAAGGGCCUAUGUAUAUCAUUAGGCUGCCAGUUCUAUAUAUAUACAUGUGGGUACACACAUGUGCAAUAUACCAUAGGCAGCAUAGCUGAUCACGGACCUUAAGGGUUCUUCUGCUCACUGGGUCAGAAGCAUCCAAUUUCCUGUCAUCAGUUGCUGUUCAGCCAUGUUAAUACUAAAAGUAUAAGAAUAUCAUAAUCCCAGAGUGAUAUAAAGACCUUUCCAAGGAAGAUGAGAUACCCAGAGGCUGUGAAGGAGAAGUCUGAAGGAUUUGACCACGUUAAAAUGAAAAGCUUCGGUUAGCGAAACACCAGAAACAAAUUCAAAAGAUAAAAUACUCUCUGGAGAAGCCCAUUCUCUCAACACAUCUGACAGUUCACAAAGAGCAACUGCAGUCCAGCUUAAAAAAUGAAGAAAAUGGUAGGAAAAUAGGCAAUGUGCACUGACACAAUAUAUAAGAAGAAACAGGAAUGCCCAAUUAACCAACAAAAGCCUGCUCAAUGCUAACAAGUGAAGAUAAAAGCUUAGUAAAGAUGAAAAUUUAUUGAAGAUAAAAAUGGAUACUCUGGCCAUAUAUAAAAGCAUUGUUGCCUCCUUCCAUCUCUCUUCCUCAAUCCAUCCUGAGUCAGGUUAUACUGCUCCAGCGUGACGUGAAGAGCGGAGUAAGGCAGUAGAAUCCACGUUCUAGGUUUAAAUUCUGAAGCUUACCAACUGGUACCUUUGAACAAGCUGUUGAGCCUGCAUUCCUGCAGAUGACACUGGCACUCACAAAUGAUGAUCCCACUGAUCACGAAUCAUCAGGACAAUGCAGCUGUGAGAAAGGGAACCCGAGGCCACGUUCAUGCCUAUCUCCAGGUUUUACCUGCUGUUCCUAUUUUGCCUCUGUGUUCCCUGGACACCACCAUUCCAGUGCAAGAUUUCCGGGGUUGAAUUCAUUUUCAGCAAAAGUUCUCAGAAGUGCUCUGACUGGCAUGGGACCAAGAGGCCACAUGCAGAUUUUAAGUUCUGUCACUGGGGUUUUGGGCAGUUGCCAUUCUGAGGAGGAGCUGAAGAGCACUGCUCUGCCAAAGAAAAAGAAGCUGGGAGAUGAAUCACUGAGUGGUUACCCAGAACAGAGAAUGUUGUCUGCAUUCAUCUAUCUUCCAUUCAAUCUCCCUUCAGAAAGACUAUUAUGGAGUUGUAAAUCAGGGCUCAGAGACAAGACGGGACUUCCUCGAGGUCAUGACGAGAUGACCUCAUGGCAAGCUGAAUCUUCAAGUUGUGUUGACCUACCUGGGAGCAUGUUGGCUCCAGAAUUCCAAGCUUCAGUAAUUUUAUAAAACAAAAUUAAAAUACCAGAAGGAUGUAUUUGCAAACAAAUUAUAGAGCUUUAAGAUUAUACAACAGUUAAGAAAGCAUGAGGUGGGCAUAUGUGUGCCAAUAAGGAAUGAGUUUGAAAAGCAAGUUGGAGAACAACAUGAAUAAUGUGAUCACAUUUUUGCUUUUAGAAACCAAAGUUCCAUAUAAUACGUAGCUACCAUUUGGUAAGUUAUUAGUGUUUACCUGG
Callithrix jacchus (white-tufted-ear marmoset) is the source of this 1551-nucleotide long non-coding RNA. Lineage: Eukaryota; Metazoa; Chordata; Mammalia; Primates; Cebidae. The record is from Ensembl.